This 678-nucleotide ribosomal RNA is filed under the name uncultured euryarchaeote. RNAcentral describes it as "bacterial SSU rRNA". It matches the Rfam family "Archaeal small subunit ribosomal RNA", at positions 321 to 998 of the family's 1478-position model. The record is from RNAcentral. Lineage: Archaea; Methanobacteriati; Methanobacteriota.
CCCUACGGGGUGCAGCAGUCGAGAAACUUUUGCAAUGCACGAAAGUGUGACAAAGCAAGCCAGAGUGUUUUUCCGUAUUGGAGAAACUUUUGUGAGAUGUAAAAAGUCUCACGAAUAAGGACUGGGCAAGACUAGUGCCAGCCGCCGCGGUAAUACUAGCGGUCCAAGUCGCAAUCACGUUUAUUGGGUCUAAAACAUCCGUAGCUUGUUAUGUAAGUCUCUUGUGAAAUCCUAUGUCUUAAGCAUAGAAGUGCGAGAGAUACUGCAUAGCUAGAGACCGGGAGAGGCAAGGAGUACGGACAGGGUAUCGGUAAAAUGAGUUGAUCCUGUUUGGACUAACGAUAGCGAAGGCACCUUGCUAGAACGGAUCUGACAGUGAGGGAUGAAGGCUAGGGGCGCAAAACGGAUUAGAUACCCGUGUAGUCCUAGCAGUAAACACUGCACACUAAACAUUGGGACCUCUUCGAGAGGUUUCAGUGCUGUAGGGAAGCCGUAGAGUGUGCUACCUGGGAAGUAUAGGCGCAAGCCCGAAACUUAAAGGAAUUGGGCGGGGGAGGUACUACAACGAGUGACGCGUGCGGCUCAAUUAGAUUCCACACCGUGAACCUCACCAGGACCGACAGCACGAUGAACGUCAGUCUAAAGGGCUUACCUGACACGCUGAGAGGAGUGCAUGGC